This 255-nucleotide ribosomal RNA is filed under the name uncultured bacterium. RNAcentral describes it as "partial 16S ribosomal RNA". It matches the Rfam family "Bacterial small subunit ribosomal RNA", at positions 47 to 300 of the family's 1533-position model. The record is from RNAcentral.
UAGCCCUAACACAUAAAAAAAGAACGGUAACGCGGGGCAACCUGACAAAAAAAUGGCGAACGGGUGAGUAAAGUAUCGGAACGUGAUCAGUAGUGGGGGAUAACCCGGCGAAAGCCGGAUUAAUACACGCAUGAGACCUGAGGGUGAAAGCGGGGGAUCGGAAGACCUCGCGCUAUUGGAGCGGCCGAUAUCAGAUUAGGUAGUUGGUGGGGUGAAGGCCUACCAAGCCGACGAUCUGUAUCUGGUCUGAGAAAA